AGAAGAUGUACAGAACUGACGUUGAUCACCAUCAAUCUUAUUGUUGUAUCCUUUCACAAUAGUUUUCUGGACAUUUCAUCAAUUUUAUAGAUAGUUAUUAUCGUUCAGGUUAGACAAGGACCUCAGUGGCCGAGACGUCUAGGUAGUUAAACUUCUGUAAUCACUAUCCAGUCAACACUGAGGUUGUGAAUUCGUACCAUGUGUGCACUCGACAAUUGACUAGAAUAUUAAGUUUUCCUACCGGUUCGAACUCACAACUCGAGUGUUGACUGGCUAGUGAUAACAGUAGUAGAACUACUUAGACCACUUGGCCACCGAGGACCCUCCACCAAGAAGAACUGACCGCCACGAAAUAGCAGAAUAGUUUUAAAAGUUGCGUUAAAAACCAAUCAGAUCUAUAAAUAAAUCAAACAAGUUACACAUAUUUACACCUAAAAAUAUGGAAAUAAGAAAAAAUAUAACUAAGUUGCCAUACUUAUGAUGAUAUGAAGUCUCCUUUUUUUUGCAAAAUGGAUGGAUUGUUCUUUUUUUAAGUACACAAAAUUACUAAAUAUUUAUGAAAAAAUAUCAAAUUGUAAAGAUAAUCUAACGUUUCAUUUGUUCCUGGAAGGAUAAUCUAAAAUUGUUGACUGAUAACUUUAUUCGCCUUUUAAACGUCGCUAAGUAAAAUACAAGUGCGUAGACUAAACGAAAAUAUAAAAUGUCAGAAACAAUACAGAAUCAAACGAUGAAGAACAGGCGCGAAAAAACAGUAAAAACAACACAAAAUACAUUGAUUGUCUGAAGUCAUUAGAACGUUCACAAGUUGACAAAUUAGAACUAGUUUAUUACACUUCCUUGAUGUUGAACUACAGAUAUUAGUUUUACUAGUUGCUGUUAUUGCCUUAGUGAUUACCAUUGCAGUUUAUACUUUCUAAAAGGUAUACUUACAUUUAUGUAGAUUUAUCUGUAUUAAGGUAGCACAAUACAACGAUUUUUUUCACUCCCAAUCAGACAACUUUAAACUGAUGUAAUUCAUUUAAUCCUUCUUUAUAUUUUAUAAAUGAGGUAUCAAAAGAAUGAAAAAAAAAAAAAAUCUUUCAAAUUGUGAUAAUUACAUUAUGACAUAAUUAUUACAUAAUUAAUUAUUAUGCAAUUAGUUGCUCUAUUGUGAUGACCACACUGAAAUGAAUUUAGUAUCAUUCUUUGUUCUUCAUAGCAUCCCAAAAUAUUUUAUAGAUUCUUGUACAACACAGCUUGAACUCCAAAACCGUGUCUCAGAUUUCCAAAAACAUCAAUAGAACAAAUUUUAUACCCAAAUGAAUUUAGUGGUGUCUUAUGAAUUGAUGUUGAAAACUUCAUUGAAGAUUUAUGAGAGAAUCAAAUACAAUAGGAAAAAUCUGAGCCACAGUUUUGGAGGUCAAACUGUGUUGUGCAAGAUUCUAUAAAAUAUUUUGGGAUGCUAUGAAUAACAAAGAAGCUAAAUUCAUUCAAGUAUGGACAUCACAAUAUUGCAACUAAUUACAUAACAAUUAAUCAUGUAACAAUUAUGUCAUAAUGAAAUUAUCACAAUUUAAAAGAUUAAUCUUUCUCCUUUCUUUUGGCACCUCAUUUAUAAAAUUUAAAGAAAGAUGAGUGGAAUUACAUCAGUUUAAAGAUGUUUGAUUGGGGAUGAAAAAUCUUUGUAUUGUGCUACCUUAACUUUAAUAAAUUGUAUUUUUGUCAAAAAUUAAAAGUAUUUCCCCUUUGUUGGCGUGUGAUAAAAAUCAAGUACUAGCAUGUCACAAUAUUGUUCUACGAUUAUGCAUAUCGAUAAUUAUUGCAUAUGAAAUGAUGCCCUUUAGUUAUAAAUGUAAAGUUUCUCCCCGACAAAUGACAUAAUUUUUUUCAAAUUAUAAACAGAAAAGAACACAAAUUAAGCAUGUAAUUGGUUAUACUUAAACGAAGAAUUUUAACAUAAUGUGGUUAUUUAUCUUGCAGAACCAGGACAAGAGUACGGUGAACAGACAGAGAGUAUGAAGAAACAAACCGAGGGAAAUGAUGACAAUAACAUUAAUCCUAUUCCAAUGACUUGUUUCUAUGUUUUACAAGAUUAACAUCAAACAUCCAUUAAAUAAUGCAUGGAACUAUCCAUGUUUUUCUCCUAAUCGAAUAGCUUUAUUUUCACGAAACGACAUGAUUUAAAUGAUAUUUUGAUUUACAAUGUUCAUCUCAUAUCGCUGUCAUUUGCUUUUUAAUGUUUAUUAUAUGUAUUAAAUUUUUUUAGCAGAUACGAGUAAUUUUUUAAACUGAAAUUGAAUGUACAUUCUCUUUUUACUUUAAAAUAUAGUUUUAAAUUUAUUCCGUCAUGACAUAGAAAAGAAUUGUCUCUUGAAGAAGUGCUAGUAUAAGCAUAGAAUGAAAGGGUAUAUGUCAAUAUGCAUUCUGUGUGAGAACUGGAUGACAAAAAUAUUUCCCGCUUUACAUUUCGAUCUUUUGAGAUAAAAAAAUUCCAACA
RNAcentral lists this long non-coding RNA (2476 nucleotides) under Mytilus galloprovincialis (Mediterranean mussel). The record is from RNAcentral. Lineage: Eukaryota; Metazoa; Mollusca; Bivalvia; Mytilida; Mytilidae.